RNAcentral lists this ribosomal RNA (268 nucleotides) under uncultured Pseudomonas sp. Its description in RNAcentral is "partial 16S ribosomal RNA". It matches the Rfam family "Bacterial small subunit ribosomal RNA", at positions 1113 to 1382 of the family's 1533-position model. The record is from RNAcentral. Lineage: Bacteria; Pseudomonadati; Pseudomonadota; Gammaproteobacteria; Pseudomonadales; Pseudomonadaceae.
AGUUACCAGCACGUUAUGGUGGGCGACUCUAAGGAGACUGCCGGUGCAAACCGAGGAAGUGGGGAUGACGUCAAGUCAUCAUGGCCCUUACGGCCUGGGCUACACACGUGCUACAAUGGUCGGUACAAAGGGUUGCCAAGCCGCGAGGUGGAGCUAAUCCCAUAAAACCGAUCGUAGUCCGGAUCGCAGUCUGCAACUCGACUGCGUGAAGUCGGAAUCGCUAGUAAUCGUGAAUCAGAAUGUCACGGUGAAUACGUUCCCGGGCCUU